AGAGUUUGAUCCUGGCUCAGAAUCAACGCUGGCGGCGUGCCUAACACAUGCAAGUCGAACGAGAAAGGGGAGCAAUCCCUGAGUAAAGUGGCGCACGGGUGAGUAACACGUGACUAACCUACCCUGGAGUGGGGGAUAACUGAGGGAAACCUUAGCUAAUACCGCAUAAUACCCACGGGUCAAAGGAGCAAUUCGCUCCAGGAGGGGGUCGCGGCCGAUUAGCUAGUUGGCGGGGUAACGGCCCACCAAGACGAUGAUCGGUAUCCGGCCUGAGAGGGCGCACGGACACACUGGAACUGAAACACGGUCCAGACUCCUACGGGAGGCAGCAGUGGGGAAUUUUGCGCAAUGGGGGAAACCCUGACGCAGCAACGCCGCGUGGAGGAUGAAGUCCUUCGGGACGUAAACUCCUUUCGAUCGGGACGAUUAUGACGGUACCGGAAGAAGAAGCCCCGGCUAACUUCGUGCCAGCAGCCGCGGUAAUACGAGGGGGGCGAGCGUUGUUCGGAAUUAUUGGGCGUAAAGGGUGCGUAGGCGGUUUGGUAAGUCUUGUGUGAAAUCUACAGGCUCAACUUGUAGUCUGCACGAGAAACUGCCGGGCUUGAGUGUGGGAGAGGUGAGUGGAAUUUCCGGUGUAGCGGUGAAAUGCGUAGAUAUCGGAAGGAACACCUGUGGCGAAAGCGGCUCACUGGACCACAACUGACGCUGAUGCACGAAAGCUAGGGGAGCAAACAGGAUUAGAUACCCUGGUAGUCCUAGCCCUAAACGAUGACUGCUUGGUGUGACGGGUACCCAAUCCCGCCGUGCCGUAGCUAACGCGUUAAGCAGUCCGCCUGGGGAGUACGGUCGCAAGGCUGAAACUCAAAGGAAUUGACGGGGGCCCGCACAAGCGGUGGAGCAUGUGGUUUAAUUCGACGCAACGCGAAGAACCCUUACCUG
This 939-nucleotide ribosomal RNA is filed under the name uncultured bacterium. Its description in RNAcentral is "bacterial SSU rRNA". It matches the Rfam family "Bacterial small subunit ribosomal RNA", at positions 8 to 977 of the family's 1533-position model. The record is from RNAcentral.